CCUACGAGAGGCAGCAGUGAGGAAUAUUGGUCAAUGGUCGGGAGAAUGAACCAGCCAAGCCGCGGGAGGGAGGAAGGUACAGAGUAUCGUAAACCUCUUUUGUCAGGGAACAAAGACUGGGACGCGUCCCCGGAUGAGUGUACCUGAAGAAAAAGCAUCGGCUAACUCCGUGCCAGCAGCCGCGGUAAUACGGGGGAUGCGAGCGUUAUCGGGUUUUAUUGGGUUGAAUGGGUGCGCAGGCGGUCUGUUAAGUCAGCGGUCAAAGCCCGGGGCUCACCCCCGGCCCGCCGUUGAAACUGGCAGUCUCGAGUUGGAGAGAAGUAUGCGGAAAGCGCGGUGUAGCGGUGAAAUGCAUAGAUAGCGCGCAGAACUCCGAUUGCGAAGGCAGCAUGCCGGCUCCACACUGACGCUGAGGCACGAAAGCGUGGGUAUCGAACAGGAUUAGAUACCCUUGUAGUC
Molecule: ribosomal RNA, 459 nt
Filed under: uncultured bacterium
Lineage: Bacteria
Description: partial 16S ribosomal RNA
Rfam family: Bacterial small subunit ribosomal RNA
Source: RNAcentral